Molecule: long non-coding RNA, 566 nt
Filed under: Ursus maritimus (polar bear)
Lineage: Eukaryota; Metazoa; Chordata; Mammalia; Carnivora; Ursidae
Description: lncRNA (ENSUMAG00000004737.1)
Source: RNAcentral
CGAGUGCGGGUGCCCAGCGCGUGGCCCCUGGUUCGGAUAGCUGUCCCCCGCCUGGGGCUGUCAGCGCAGACUCCGGCUCCAGGGCUGUGGCCUGCGGUGCUCGAAACUGCAGGACCCGCCUUCCUCGGCUUCUGCCUUCCUCGGCUUCUGCCGCCCGCGGCCCGGGCACUGCUCAGUGCCCCUUGGAGAGGAACUUCCCAGGGGCUAAGAGCCAUCCUACCAGCGCUUGUGAGAUCAGUGAGAAGCCGCUUCCUGAGUGUUCACACCCACCAAGUGAGCGGGUCCUCCAAGCUCUCCUUCUCCGUGCCUGCCGUGUCCCUCCGCAGUCCGCGAGCACCUGUCGCAGAGGGCGAGGAGGAAGACAAUGCGCGUCUGCAUCCUGACGAUGGGAAGCCGCCCCGUACCCGUCCUCGAUUCCACAGGCCACACUUGCUGCUCCUGCUGUGACCUGGUCGAGUGCUGGGCUCUGACACUCGUCUCUCCUCUUGGGCCGACGCCGGUCCUCAUCACACCUCCGAGGAGUCACUGAGCAACACUCUGCUUUCAGUAAAAGACCAAGCUUAACG